RNAcentral lists this ribosomal RNA (216 nucleotides) under Pheidole megacephala. Its description in RNAcentral is "partial 28S ribosomal RNA". It matches the Rfam family "Eukaryotic large subunit ribosomal RNA", at positions 346 to 519 of the family's 3401-position model. Lineage: Eukaryota; Metazoa; Arthropoda; Insecta; Hymenoptera; Formicidae. The record is from RNAcentral.
AAGUACCGUGAGGGAAAGUUGAAAAGAACUUUGAAGAGAGAGUUCAAAAGUACGUGAAACCGUUCAGGGGUAAAUCUAAGAAACUCAAAAGAUCGAACGGGGAUAUUCAUCGUCAGCGACGCUGGCUUCGCGUCGGUGGGCGAUGUCUCGCGGGGCCUCGCGGCUCGCGCGCGAAUACGCCGCCGUGCUCUCGAUGUCCGGCGUUUCGUCAUCGUG